This 109-nucleotide ribosomal RNA is filed under the name Clostridiaceae bacterium. RNAcentral's name for it is "partial 23S ribosomal RNA". It matches the Rfam family "Bacterial large subunit ribosomal RNA", at positions 2815 to 2925 of the family's 2925-position model. Lineage: Bacteria; Bacillati; Bacillota; Clostridia; Eubacteriales; Clostridiaceae. The record is from RNAcentral.
CCACGUUAUGUGAUAAGAUCCCUGGAAGACUACCAGGUUGAUAGGCCAAGAGUGGAAGUGUAGUAAUAUAUGUAGCGUAUUGGUACUAAUAGAUCGAAGAUUUGACCUG